UUUGCUGUUUUUUUCAAAAACAUGUUUUUUUGUUAUAAAUUUAAGAUUGGCCCUGCUCAAUGAAUUUUAAAUAGCCGCGGUAAUUUAACUGUGCAAAGGUAGCAUAAUAAUUAGUCUUUUAAUUGAGGUCUGGAAUGAAUGGGUUAACGAGGAAAUAACUUUAUUAAAUAUAUUUUGUUUAAUUUAAUUUUUAAGUCAAAAAGCUUAAUUAAUUGAUUGGGACGAUAAGACCCUAUAGAUCUUUAUUUUUUAUUUAAAGUUUAUAAAUUUGGUUGAUUAUUAAUUUUGUUUUAAAUUAAAAAAUUUUGCUGGGGUGGUUUUUAAAAAUUUUAACUUUAUAUUUUUUUUACUUUAAUUUUAGAAUAUUUUGAUCCUUAAUUUUGGAUUUUAAGAUUAAGAUACCUUAGGGAUAACAGCGUUAUAUAUUUGGAGAGUUCUUAUUGAUAAAUAUGUUUGCGACCUCGAUGUUGGAUUAAAUUUAAUUGUGGGGUAGGUUUUACAAUGUUAGGUCUGUUCGACCUUUAAAAUUUUACAUGAUCUGAUUCCAGACCGGA
RNAcentral lists this ribosomal RNA (554 nucleotides) under Plectoderoides sp. n. HL-2014. RNAcentral's name for it is "partial 16S ribosomal RNA". The stretch from base 409 to 554 matches the Rfam family "Bacterial large subunit ribosomal RNA", at positions 2473 to 2620 of the family's 2925-position model. The record is from RNAcentral. Lineage: Eukaryota; Metazoa; Arthropoda; Insecta; Hemiptera; Achilidae.